This 403-nucleotide ribosomal RNA is filed under the name uncultured Eubacteriales bacterium. Its description in RNAcentral is "bacterial SSU rRNA". It matches the Rfam family "Bacterial small subunit ribosomal RNA", at positions 356 to 774 of the family's 1533-position model. The record is from RNAcentral. Lineage: Bacteria; Bacillati; Bacillota; Clostridia; Eubacteriales.
GGGGAAUAUUGCGCAAUGGGGGAAACCCUGACGCAGCAAUACCGCGUGAGUGAAGAAGGUUUUCGGAUCGUAAAGCUCUGUUAUUGGGGAAGAAAAAAAGACGGUACCCAAGGAGGAAGCCACGGCUAACUACGUGCCAGCAGCCGCGGUAAUACGUAGGUGGCGAGCGUUGUCCGGAAUUACUGGGCGUAAAGGGUGCGUAGGCGGGAUAUUAAGUUAGAUGUGAAAACCCUUAGCUUAACUUGGGGACUGCAUUUAAAACUGGUAACCUAGAGUGCAGGAGAGGUAAGCGGAAUUCCUAGUGUAGCGGUGAAAUGCGUAGAUAUUAGGAAGAACAUCAGUGGCGAAGGCGGCUUACUGGACUGUAACUGACGCUGAUGCACGAAAGCGUGGGGAGCAAACA